UAUUCAUACAGUAGUAGUCCUGACAGGUGUCCUGUAAUACAACACCUUUAUAUUCAUACAGUAGUAGUCCUGACAGGUGUCCUGUAAUACAAUACAACACCUUUAUAUUCAUACAGUAGUAGUCCUGACAGGUGUCCUGUAAUACAAUACAACACCUUUAUAUUCAUACAGUAGUAGUCCUGACAGGUGUCCUGUAAUACAAUACAACACCUUUAUAUUCAUACAGUAGUAGUCCUGACAGGUGUCCUGUAAUACAAUACAACACCUUUAUAUUCAUACAGUAGUAGUCCUGACAGGUGUCCUGUAAUACAAUACAACACCUUUAUAUUCAUACAGUAGUAGUCCUGACAGGUGUCCUGUAAUACAAUACAACACCUUUAUAUUCAUACAGUAGUAGUCCUGACAGGUGUCCUGUAAUACAAUACAACACCUUUAUAUUCAUACAGUAGUAGUCCUUACAGGUGUCCUGUAAUACAAUACAACACCUUUAUAUUCAUACAGUAGUAGUCCUGACAGGUGUCCUGUAAUACAACACCUUUAUAUUCAUACAGUAGUAGUCCUGACAGGUGUCCUGUAAUACAAUACAACACCUUUAUAUUCAUACAGUAGUAGUCCUGACAGGUGUCCUGUAAUACAACACAACACCUUUAUAUUCAUACAGUAGUAGUCC
This is a long non-coding RNA of Oncorhynchus keta (chum salmon), 670 nucleotides long. RefSeq lists it as uncharacterized. The transcript has 4 exons. NCBI's taxonomy places the organism in Eukaryota, Metazoa, Chordata, Actinopteri, Salmoniformes, Salmonidae. The record is from RefSeq and is a predicted model, not a curated record.